AUGGUUUUGUAUCUAAAUAGUGCAAGAGUUUCAAUCUGCUUUCAGUCAUCCACAGUUAGAGUCAAUGUAAUGAAGAAAUUACAAAUAGUUAGAGUCGUUGGUGAUGGAUUUAUUGUCGGUGUUCGAUCACAGUGGCUGCCGGUGAUUAUUCUGAGACAAAUGCUGAGUUUCACAGAACUAUUUACACUAAUCUGUGAUUUCAAGAAAAUUAGAGGCUGCAGUUACUCUGGAAAGAACAUAUACAAGUAUUUUUUUUUUGUAGUACAUGUUGAUUAA
Vicia faba (fava bean) is the source of this 276-nucleotide non-coding RNA. The record is from the annotation of a GenBank genome assembly. Lineage: Eukaryota; Viridiplantae; Streptophyta; Magnoliopsida; Fabales; Fabaceae.